UUCCGUAGGUGAACCUGCGGAAGGAUCAUAG
Molecule: ribosomal RNA, 31 nt
Filed under: Tulasnella calospora
Lineage: Eukaryota; Fungi; Basidiomycota; Agaricomycetes; Cantharellales; Tulasnellaceae
Also listed under: 2 other names
Description: partial 18S ribosomal RNA
Source: RNAcentral